CCAAUAGCGUAUAUUAAAGUUGUUGCAGUUAAAAAGCUCGUAGUUGAAUUUCGGGAUCAAUGGAUCGGUCAUGCCGUUGGUAUGUACUGGUUUUAUUGAUUCUCACCUUCUAAAGAACCAUGAUGGCAUUAAUUUGUUGUUGUGGGGAAUUAGGACUGUUACCUUGAAAAAAUUAGAGUGUUUAAAGCAGGCUUACGCUUGAAUACAUUAGCAUGGAAUAACGAAAUAGGACAUCGCAUUCUAUUUUGUUGGUUUCUAGGAUCGAUGUAAUGAUUAAUAGGGAUAGUUGGGGGAAUUAGUAUUCAAUUGUCAGAGGUGAAAUUCUUGGAUUUAUUGAAGACUAACUACUGCGAAAGCAUUUGCCAAGGAUGUUUUCAUUAAUCAAGAACGAAAGUUAGGGGAUCGAAGACGAUCAGAUACCGUCGUAGUCUUAACCAUAAACUAUGCCGACUAGGGAUCGGAUGAUGUUAAUUUUUUAAUGACUCAUUCGGCACCUUACG
This 500-nucleotide ribosomal RNA is filed under the name uncultured Glomus. RNAcentral's name for it is "SSU rRNA". It matches the Rfam family "Eukaryotic small subunit ribosomal RNA", at positions 591 to 1092 of the family's 1831-position model. The record is from RNAcentral. Lineage: Eukaryota; Fungi; Glomeromycota; Glomeromycetes; Glomerales; Glomeraceae.